Molecule: ribosomal RNA, 606 nt
Filed under: uncultured bacterium
Lineage: Bacteria
Description: bacterial SSU rRNA
Rfam family: Bacterial small subunit ribosomal RNA
Source: RNAcentral
CCAGACUCCUACGGGAGGCAGCAGUAGGGAAUCUUCGGCAAUGGACGGAAGUCUGACCGAGCAACGCCGCGUGAGUGAAGAAGGUUUUCGGAUCGUAAAGCUCUGUUGUAAGAGAAGAACGAGUGUGAGAGUGGAAAGUUCACACUGUGACGGUAUCUUACCAGAAAGGGACGGCUAACUACGUGCCAGCAGCCGCGGUAAUACGUAGGUCCCGAGCGUUGUCCGGAUUUAUUGGGCGUAAAGCGAGCGCAGGCGGUUAGAUAAGUCUGAAGUUAAAGGCUGUGGCUUAACCAUAGUACGCUUUGGAAACUGUUUAACUUGAGUGCAAGAGGGGAGAGUGGAAUUCCAUGUGUAGCGGUGAAAUGCGUAGAUAUAUGGAGGAACACCGGUGGCGAAAGCGGCUCUCUGGCUUGUAACUGACGCUGAGGCUCGAAAGCGUGGGGAGCAAACAGGAUUAGAUACCCUGGUAGUCCACGCCGUAAACGAUGAGUGCUAGGUGUUAGACCCUUUCCGGGGUUUAGUGCCGCAGCUAACGCAUUAAGCACUCCGCCUGGGGAGUACGACCGCAAGGUUGAAACUCAAAGGAAUUGACGGGGGCCGCACAAG